This 587-nucleotide unclassified non-coding RNA is filed under the name Hevea brasiliensis (rubber tree). The record is from RNAcentral. Lineage: Eukaryota; Viridiplantae; Streptophyta; Magnoliopsida; Malpighiales; Euphorbiaceae.
AGACUGGGUUUUGGUUUCUUUCUCUUCUUUUCUUGUAAAGAAUGAUUGGUUAUACAGGCUUCAACUGAAGUGAUAGCGAGCGUUUGGGAAACAAAAAGAUUUUUCUUUUUGGAGCAAAGUACAAAACAAAAACAUUUAUCUCAUAUGUUUUGGGUGAUUAAUUUUUCAGCUUCUUGAUGAUGAAAGAUUGUCCACAAACGAAGGGAAGUUCUCUGGAGGGAUAAGUUUUCUUUGAAAGCUUCAAACUGAAUACAACCUCCCUUAUCUGAAUUCAAGAAGAGUCUCAGCAUAUAUUCAAAGCACAGAAGAGAAAAAUAGUUGGCAAGAAAUCUCAAUUCUCUCGGGCGUUAUUGGCAAGGUAAACCAAAAGAGAAAGAAAAGGAGAGAAACUUUCGUCUUUCGUGCAAAAUUAAUAUAAGAGAUUAACUUGCCGUCAAAACAAGAAAACAACUAUACAGCUCCAUCAAGAAUUAAAAUGCAAAGAAUCUAAUUCAUAAGCAACUUCGAGGCUUAUUAGAUUCUUUUGCAAUUCACAAGCAUACAACGGUUUUGGUUUUUUGCUAAGGUGAAAAUGGCUACCAAUCAUU